Molecule: long non-coding RNA, 763 nt
Organism: Saccostrea cuccullata (small rock oyster)
Lineage: Eukaryota; Metazoa; Mollusca; Bivalvia; Ostreida; Ostreidae
Exons: 2
Source: RefSeq, a predicted model, not a curated record
UAUCUUUAAACUACUGAUUUGUUAUUAUAUUGUUUAUCUCUAUCUCUUAUUAAAAUGAAUACUUUAUUAGAUUGUGCACUGCUUAGAAAAAUUUUAAAUUUUUAUCAUUCAUAGCUGCACUUUUUCAGUUUUUUAGUUCAAAUCGACGUUAAAUACUGUUUAAGUGUACGGAAUACAAGCUGGUACCAGGCUGCUUGACCGAGGGACCCACAACCCUAUCCCCACCAAGAAUUGCCUCACAGGAGAUAAAAUGUCACUUAUCUAGAGAGACCCCUCCCACUACGUGCCGUCAGAUAGGACCUUGAAAGAGCAACACCAGUACUGAUCGUUACCUAGAGACACAAAACGUGACGCCAAGAAGAUGCAGAGCGAGGACCAAUGGGUUACUACCACAAAGACAUAGGUGUAUUACAAAAUGGAAUACCCAAAUGUAGCCUAUUCGGAUACACUCUGGAUUGACCCAGCAUGCCCCCGCGGGAUCUGACGCCUUUGUUACCAUAGAAAGAGCCGACCGAAGGAGAUAUUACGGCUAUUAUCACGAGGCCAUUGAGCAGGAAAGAGAACGAAGAAAGAAGGAGCUUCCUGAAAGUAUGAGAGUGGAAGCCAGACACAUUCCGAUGUUAAAGAGAUAAGUGCAACUCCAGGACAAUAAAUACAAAAGUGUGCUUUUAUUCGUGCAGUAUUAUAUUUGUGUAAUAAUUGUUAAUACGUCACCGAUAAUUGGACUAUGCUUGUAUAACUAGAUGUUUAUCAAACUUGUUUU